Ipomoea nil (Japanese morning glory) is the source of this 1608-nucleotide long non-coding RNA. RefSeq lists it as uncharacterized. NCBI's taxonomy places the organism in Eukaryota, Viridiplantae, Streptophyta, Magnoliopsida, Solanales, Convolvulaceae. The record is from RefSeq and is a predicted model, not a curated record. The transcript is spliced from 2 exons.
UUUCCAUGAUCCAAUUAAUCAAAUCGGCCCAAUCAUCAAUCUCAACAUUAGCCCAAUAACACUUUAAUCGGUCCAUUUAUCGGGUUCAAAUUUUCGGUGUCUACAAAUUGCCCCCUCGAGACUUGCCGGGACAUGCCGCUUAAUGUGCUUGGAGUGAGAAAGUCUCGAAAUUUUAACACAUGGCCAUUCAAAUCCAUGGGAGUGUCUUAUAACAUCAUGAGCCCAAAAUUAUUCAUUGAGCCCAAAAUUAAUUUAGGAUGAAGCUGGUGAAGGGAUAUUGGGCUCAUACAACAUUUAUUGGCCCACGUUGGAUACUCCACAACCCAAAAUUGAAUUAGCAAUGUACUAUGGUCAAAUCCAUCAAGACCAUCUCAAUAUUCUAAAUUUACUAAGAUCAACUUCUCAUCUGGCAACAAAUUUGAGUCCUUCAAAUUCUAUGCACACCAAUCUCAUCCGUAAUCCCAGCAUCACAAUUGAAUUCAACCACACAACCAUAAUUAUAAUACCAUUAGGAUUCUAAUCCGACACUAACCUCCUUCCUCACAGUACACUAUAAAUAUGGCCUAAACAUACCCUCAUCCACACCAAUCAACGAGAUAAAGAUCAGGGAAGAACAACUCUGCUUCUUAAUCAGGAAGUGAAUGUCUUGGGUGGCCUUGUACUUCCAGUGUGGGGAACAAUUCCAAGGAGGGAGGUAUUGGCAUAGUGAAUAAACACAAUCACACGGAGUUCGUCGUGGCAGGAGUUUUUUUGUUUUUUUAGGAAGUUGCCGGAUUGUUGCCCGCCGCCGGAAGUUUUCGCAGAAGUCGCCGGAGUGUUGCCCGUCGGAAAUCGCCGCUCAACUGUUGAUGCUACCGCCUCGCUGGAAGCUUUUUUUUUUUUUUUUUUUUUGCAGAAGUCGCCGGAGCGUUGCCCGUCGGGAACCGCUGCUCAACUGUUGAUGGUACCGCUUCACCGGAGACCACUCAUUGCUGUCGAUCAAGAACCAUGCAUGCCGACAAUGGCCGCUGCCGGUGCCGAUCGUCGCAAAUCGCUGGUUCGGAGUCUAACUUUGUUGUUUGUUGUCGUAGGGUCGCAUCGCGGAUCGCCAUCGCAGAGCUCUGUUUCUCUACUGUUGUUGGUGCAGGAUCGUGUCUCUGAGAUUUGCUUCUCCUGACUUCUAUUGAUGUUGCCGGAAGUGAACCUGAAUCUAUCUUCUCUGUUAGUUGCAGGUCGCCGUUGCUGGAAAUGAAUGCCUUAUGUUCAUCUCUGCUUCUCUACUGCUUGGAGGUCGACGCUGCUGCGAUCUACUGGUAACCCUCCUCGACGAUGGAACUCUACUGAAAAAUUUGACGGAGCAGCUGAGCAAGGAUGGCAAAUGGGAACACGAACUGAUAGAGGAAGAAGUGAAGGACUGCACUUUUAUUCUUUAGAGGACAACAUCUACUGCAAGUUAGAUAUGUGGCACUUUAUCCUCCACACGUGUUUCUUCCUCUUAUGCCCACUUUAAAUCUGAAGGAGACAAGAGCAUGACAUGGCCAUAUACACACGCAUGAACAUGUGUACAAAACUUUUUUUGAAACCUUGUUUGUUUUUCUUUUCUUUGCAGUUUUCUUUUCUUUUACCUUC